Molecule: long non-coding RNA, 2063 nt
Organism: Chenopodium quinoa (quinoa)
Lineage: Eukaryota; Viridiplantae; Streptophyta; Magnoliopsida; Caryophyllales; Amaranthaceae
Exons: 8
Source: RefSeq, a predicted model, not a curated record
UGAGAACUUGGCAAGUUGAAAAAUCCUUAGUAAUAGUGUGGUGACUCUUUUGCCCCUCAAAAUAUUCAAUUACAGUUUUGCCCCUUCUCCUCUUUUUCACCUUUUGUUUUACCCAUUAUUCACUUUUCCUCUCAGCCAUAUGUUUUCUGACCUUCAUUAUUCACUUUUCAGUUUUCCUCCUUUCUCUCCUCUCUUUUCAGGUUCACAAGUUUUUUUCCAAUUUGGGGAAAUCUAGAGCUAGGGUUUCGCAUGUUUCUUCCUCUGCUUCUUCUCACUCUCUCUUUCCCCGCUCCUCGUUCUUCUCGCCUCCUUCACCAUGGCCGCACUCGCAGCUCAUCUUCAAUUCCUCUUCUUCGGAUGAUGAUGCUUCCGUCGGAGUUUCGAUCUCUUCUGUUACGGAUGUUGGAGGAAAAUCUAAUCAUGAUAUUUGGAGUCUAGAGAUUCUAUAGUUUUCUAUGGUUGUAGCAAUGGCAGCAGUAAUUUCAUUUCUUUUUAUUUCAUGCCGAUAAAUUCAGUUUCUAUUAUUUGCGGUGUGAAGUAGUUUCCUCCUGUUUCUCUCUGAAAUAGGUAGAAGGAGGAAGAUGGAGCAAGGUUUGCUCGAUUCAAGUUUGAGGUGAAUAAAACUCAGAUUUGUAGGUGGCUUGGCGUUUUUUUUUUGGGUUUGCAGCAAGAUGACGAGACUUCUUUAAUGGAAGCAAGAGGACGAUGAGCUUUGGAAACAGUUUGAGGCUACACAAAAUGACUGAAUUUCAAAUCUUGCUUCAAGAACCCAACAAUGGCGGCCAUGUUUGGUUGCUGAAGUUGCUGAUUUCCCACCUUCUGAUGAUUCUAAACAAAACCCAUAUGAAGAAACUGCUUCUACUGCUGCUACUGUUGCUGCUGAAGAGAAGAAAGAUCGAAGAAAGGCAGUUAGAAUUGCGGGGAUAAGCUUGUUCAUUGGUCUCGUCUUUGCGUUCUAAGUCUAAACCCGAUGUUCUUCAAUGCACUAAAAAGAAGGAAAGCAGCUAAUGAGAACACAACAAUACAAAGUAGUAUUAGAGAUUUUGAGGUGCUUGAAAUGGGAGAGGUUAGUGGCAGCACGUCCAUGCAGGAAGUUUAUUGUAAAUAAGAAAUUAUUUUGUGUAUAACUCUUUUGUGAAUAUCAAGUUCUUAACACGAGAUCCAUUGUGUUUUUUUAGAAGGUUUUUUCUCUCUGUGACUCAAAACUCAUAGAGGUAUUGUGUUCAUUACUACUGGUGUUUUCUUUGACGAACAAAACUAAGCAUCAAUUUGUGAAAGUUGCUUAGGUAUUUCCAUAUAAUGUGAUGCUUUGAUAGGUUUGAUUUUGUGGGAUCUUUUUCUGGGAUGGCCACGAUUUUCUGGUUACUAUGGAUAAUACACAGCAUUAUUGUGCAAGAUCGGAAUUCAGAUUUGGUUCUAUUUCUCUCUCCCCAUUUUUUUUCUUCUAAUUUUUUAUAUGGAUGAAGAUUAAUUCCUUGCGGGUGUGAAUUGUGGUUGAUUCUUGUCUUCAAAUAUAUGGCCUAAUGCUAAAUUUAUUAGCUAACAUAAUCUAAAACAUGGGAUUGGUUUUCUGUUUUACUAGAGUAUGUUUUAGUAUGAUGUUGUGGUCAAUUAUAUGUUCAUUGAUGAAAGAAUUAGUUAAAAAGGCUAUUUUUUUAGAUGAAAAAAAAAUUAUUUUAGUUGAUUAUUUUAGUUAAAAACUCAUUCACUGAAACAAGAGGUCAGAACUCAGAAGUGAAUUAUGCUUAAACUUUCUGCAUUGAGGUCCCUUUUCUUCAAAAAUCCCUUUAACUGAUUGUCGAUUACUUAUUUUCUGUCUUGACAUUGUUUUUAGAUUUUACAACUCGAGAAAAGGUUGCAGAACCAAUUCGCUGUUCGGUGUGCUUUAGAAAAUGCAUUAGGUUCUGGAGUGUCCUCCUACGAGAAAAAUGAACCUUCUACAAUCCCAAAGCUUGCAACAAAUUUUAUAAAGGAAAUUGCAGUGCUAGAGUUGGAAGUUGGGUAUCUGGAGCAGUAUCUUCUGUCACUACACAUUAAACGUCAUCAAUUUCUCCAACUAUAAA